GACGAACGCUGGCGGCGUGCUUAACACAUGCAAGUCGAACGGAAAGGCCCUGCUUUUGUGGGGUGCUCGAGUGGCGAACGGGUGAGUAACACGUGAGUAACCUGCCCUUGACUUUGGGAUAACUUCAGGAAACUGGGGCUAAUACCGGAUAGGAGCUCCUGCUGCAUGGUGGGGGUUGGAAAGUUUCGGCGGUUGGGGAUGGACUCGCGGCUUAUCAGCUUGUUGGUGGGGUAGUGGCUUACCAAGGCUUUGACGGGUAGCCGGCCUGAGAGGGUGACCGGCCACAUUGGGACUGAGAGACGGCGCAGACGCCUACGGGAGGCAGCAGUGGGGAAUAUGGCACAAUGGGCGGAAGCCUGAUGCAGCAACGCCGCGUGCGGGAUGACGGCCUUCGGGUUGUGAACCGCUUUCGCCUGUGACGAAGCGUGAGUGACGGUAAUGGGUAAAGAAGCACCGGCUAACUACGUG
RNAcentral lists this ribosomal RNA (468 nucleotides) under uncultured bacterium. RNAcentral describes it as "partial 16S ribosomal RNA". It matches the Rfam family "Bacterial small subunit ribosomal RNA", at positions 28 to 507 of the family's 1533-position model. The record is from RNAcentral.